Molecule: long non-coding RNA, 8823 nt
Organism: Dreissena polymorpha
Lineage: Eukaryota; Metazoa; Mollusca; Bivalvia; Myida; Dreissenidae
Exons: 17
Source: RefSeq, a predicted model, not a curated record
UCUCACCCUGGCCAGGGAUGGCACACUCCUGGCUACAUACACAGACCCAGCACUAGGUAGCCCAUGGGGUCUACAUGUGACCCCUGCAGGCCAGGUGCUGGUCUGUGGAUACCUGCCCUACACUGUACUACAGGUGGACUGGGAGGGGCAGAGUAAGCUGGCUAAUCUUGCUACUGAGGAGGAUGGAGUGUCGAGGCCACGGUCAGUCUGCUUCAGCAGCACCACAUCAUCCAUCAUUGUGGGACAGGAAUGGAGUGACAACAUCCUGGUGUUCAGAGUGGAAUAGUGUGUACAUUCGCUUCUGAGUCAGGACAAGGUUGCUGAGGAUGUGGUGGACAAGAAUGACCUGAAUACACAGAAGGUGCUUGACCAAAUACAAGAGGCCGUCCCAUCAAUCAGUCGUCGAAGUCAGUUGAGAUGGACCAGAACAAGGCAGAAACUCAGCAACAUUUUACGCACUCAACUGCUCAGCACAGAAGACUACUGUCUGGUAAAAGGAUCGGCUGUAUCAAAGUCCUGUGAUAUGGGGGGACUUGGUCGUUCCAUGUGUGGGGAUUGCAUCAUGAAGGACAUUUUAGAUGACACUCACAAGGUGAGCAGGAGCAUUGUUAUUGAGUUGACAUGGCAAAGGCACCAGUCGGACCCCCAGGAGCCUCAGUCCAGAACAACCCUUCCCCUCCCCUGAUCCCUAGCUCCUCCCCUUUGACCUCCUGCUUCAAAGCUUCAUUGAACAAUACCGGUCUGCUGGAAUAUCUGAGCAUGCUGAGUUUUAACAAGCUGUUCUCAACAACUGCACUGUCCUUGUUGAUCGAUCCACACUCCUGCCUAAGUAGUUUGUUAAGCUCCAGUGCCGGAGGUGGGUCAAGUAUUUCAGACACGCAGAGUUAUAGCAGUAGUUAUGGUAACACAAACAGGCACUGAUUGUGGACUUCACAACAAAUAGUACGAAGAAUAAAAAGUUGGAUAACUUUUCCCAUGCUUUGUUGGACUAACAGAGCAACAUGGAAUAAUGGUAGAAAAUCUAGAAACAGUUAAAGAGUUAAAGAUCGAAGCAUAAGCUAUCCACGGGGUCUACUUCUGAUUUCAAUAGUAGUAGCAUUAUGGACCAUCCUGGUUUGUCCUCUUAUGCAUCCAAAAUGUUCAAAGUGAACGUGCGUUUUACGCAGUUGCUGACAAAAAAACUUUGUAUGAACACUCAUAGCACGAUGAAUACAUCGGGUGUGGUUCAGACGCAAAGUCUUCCCAACAACAUUAACACUAUGCUUAAGGUGUAGCCAUCAUGGUUUGUUACGAGCACUUCACACUCCAAGACAAAACAGCCUCGCAUUGAGCUGACACUAGAUAAAGCGUUGAAAAAUGACAGCAGUUUUGUUGUGUGGUCCAGUAUGCCUUUUGACUCCAACCCAACAUGAGGUAGAACUCAAACUCAGCCCUUAGCAAUCACAGCGAGGCCAGCAUGUCAUUUCACCUUCUUGAGCCUCAGCAAAUAUUAUUAGCCAACAAUACAAACAUCGUUAAAGUAAAUGUCGAUGGAAAUCGGCGGCAACCCCUUCUUUAACAAAUACUACAACUCGCUCAAGAAAUUAAGUACGAAGACGUAUUGCAGCAGCCUAGCACACCACAUCUUCUCCAAUGUUGGCUACAUCAACACUUCGAACAGCAGAGCCUUGAAGAGCACCAUCAUCGAUAUUGAUUUGGCGCAGCAACAGCACCAGUCCAGCCCGCAUGAGCCUCAGUCAAGGACGAACCUUCCCCUCCACCUGACCCUAGCAGCCUCAGUCCACGACGACCCUUCCACUCGACCUGACCCUAGCGCCUCCACCUUGACCUACGGCCUCAAAAGAUUACAUUAUUAUCCAAGAAGAAGAACAUUGUUGAAGUAAAUGUUGAAAACAGUCCAAACCCCCUUCUCACACAAAUACUACAAGUCGCUCGAGACAUUCAGCACGCCACCUAUGAACAUCUCGCACAAAAACAACAAGUCGUUCAAGAAAUUCAGCACGCCACCUAUGAACAUCUGCCACAAAUACUACAAGUCGCUCAAGAUUCAGCACGCCACCUAUGAACAUCUCCUACAAAUACUACAAGUCGCUCAAGAAAUUCAGCACGCCACCUAUGAACAUCUCCCACAAAUAAUACAAGUCGUUCAAGAAAUUCAGCACGCCACCUAUGAACAUCUCCAACAAAUACUACAAGUCGCUCAAGAAAUUCAGCACGCCACCUAUGAACAUCUCCCACAAAUACUACAAGUCGUUCAAGAAUUUCAGCACGCCACCUAUGAACAUCUCCCACAAAUACUACAAGUUGCUCAAGAAAUUCAGCACUCCACGUAUGAACAUCUCGCACAAAUACUACAAGUUGUUUAAAAAUUUGGCAGGCCACGUAUGAACAUCUCCCAGAAAUACUACAAGUCGCUCAAGAUUCAGCACGCCACCUAUGAACAUCUCGCACAAAUACUACAAGUCGCUCAAGAAAUUCAGCAUGCCACCUAUGAACAUCUCCCACAAAUACUACAAGUCGCUCAAGAAAUUCAGCACGCCACCUAUAAACAUCUCCCACAAAUACUACAAUAGGCUCAAGAAAUUCAGCAUGCCACCUAUGAACAUCUUCCAAUACUACAAGUCGCUCAAGAAAUUCAGCAUGCCACCUAUGACCAUCUCGCACAAAUACUACAUGUCGGUCAAGAAAUUCUGCACGCCAUCUAUGAACAUCUCGCACAAAUACUACAAGUCGCUCAAGAAAUUUAGCAAGCCACCUAUGAAAAUCUCCCACAAAUACCACAAGUCGUUCAAGAAAUUCAGCACGCCAGGUAUGAACAUCUCCCACAAAUACUACAAGUCGUUUAAGAAAUUCAGCACGCCACCUAUGAACAUCUCACAAAUACUACAAGUCACUCAAGAAAUUCAGCACGCCACCUAUGAACAUCUCCCACAAAUAAUACAAGUUGUUCAAGACAUUCAGCACGCCACGUAUGAUCAUCCCCUUGAAAUACUACAAGUCUUCAACAAAUUCAGCACGUCACCUAUGAACAUCUCCCACAAAUACUAUAAGUCGCUCAAGAAAAUCAGCACUCCAGGUAUUAACAUCUUACACAAAUACUACAAGUCGCUCAAGCAAUUCAGCGUGUCACCUAUGAACAUCUUGCAUGGUGGCUUGGUGAGUCUGACUUCUGUCUUGACAAGUCACUCAAGAUAAAAUAAUCGGAUCUAACAGACAGAGCAGGUGCUGAGUGACUCGUCUGUUAACUUGACUGACCUCGAUACGUUGCUCUCGAAUAAUGAGAACCUGACGCACGAGGAACAGUGCUGUCCAACAUUCCCAGUUUUUGGUUGGCGACUUCACUGUCGGGACUCACACAAUCUCUGCCUAUAAGCAACAAAAACAGGUUUUCAGUAUACAGAUAUGCAACUGGAGUGAUGAUAUGCCCUGAAGAUAUUUAUUAAUUAUACCCCCUGUUAAUUGGGGUAUAAUGGAAUCCCCUUGGACGGACAUCUAUCUGUCUGUCUUUCCAUCUGUCUGUGGGCGUUCACUUAACGAUUCAACGUUCAGCUUUCAAACUUUCAGGACCCCAUACAAUCACAGUUUGGUACUCAGCUGAAUUACAGGCUCUCUGGUGAGCUGGAGCUGGACGCCCAAGGACAAUCCCCGAGUAUAGGUGUCGAGCUCUUGGGCCAGGAAUUCGGGGCAAAGCUCAACGAGUCCUACCCCCAGGGUACAGCCACUCUAACCUUGGGGCUCCACACUUUCCUGCUCAGGGGCAAAGAUUAUCUCAUCUACAAGGGUCCUUAUCCUCACAAGUUCAGGCCCAGGAAACCAUGCUUCUCAACUGCACCCAGCCACUACAUCUCAACAAUAUCUGUCAGUUGGAGGGAGAAAGAUCGAGAUGUUUAAAUAGCAGAACAUGCACACAUUGCUGCUUCAGCCUCAAUAUGAAAUGCAGCGGCAGCAGCAGAAGCAACAGCGCUCACAAUUCAACAAUAAACAGUUCCAUUGACGAGCGCUUUUAAAUGACAACAUGUCAAUGAACCAGGCACCUUUUUCUGAAAACCUCGCCGAGCUAAUGAACAGUGCAACUGCGCCAUAUGUGACCCUUCAGAGAAUGGAAUUCCUAGCCAAAUAUCUAAUCGGUGCCAAUCUGGGCUCCAGCAGCAGCCUCAGCCAUGGGGGACAGGUUUAUGAAGCAAUCUGGGCUCCAGGAGCAGCCUCAGCAGUGGGGGACAGGUUUAUGAAGCAAUCUGGGCUCCAGGAGCAGCCUCGGCCAUGGGGGACAGGUUUAUGAAGCAAUCUGGGCUCCAGCAGCAGCCUCAGCCAUGGGGGACAGGUUUAUGAAGCAAUCUGGGCUCCAGGAGCAGCCUCAGCCGUGGGGGACAGGUUUAUGAAGCAAUCUGGGCUCCAGCAGCAGCCUCAGCCAUGGGGGACAAGUUUAUGAAGCAGGGCUCUAGCAGCAGCCUCAGCCGUGGGGGACACCCUGAACUUCUCAAUCUCACAGCAACAGUAGAUCAACAUGACCUCCAGCAGCAGCCUCAGCCGUGGGGGACAGGUUAAUGAAGCAGGGCUCUAGCAGCAGCCUCAGCCAUGGGGGACAGGUUUAUGAAGCAGGGCUCUAGCAGCAGCCUCAGCCAUGGGGGACAGGUUUAUGAAGCUUCCUGAACUUCUCAAUCUCACAGCAACAGUAGAUCAACAUGACCUGAAAGGUGGGGAUAAGAACUUCUCAAUCUCACAGCAACAGUAGAUCAACAUGACCUCUAGCAGCAGCCUCAGCCAUGGGGGACAGGUUUAUGAAGCAGGGCUCUAGCAGCAGCCUCAGCCGUGGGGGACAGGUUUAUGAAGCACCCUGAACUUCUCAAUCUCACAGCAACAGUAGAUCAACAUGACCUCUAGCAGCAGCCUCAGCCGUGGGGGACAGGUUUAUGAAGCAGGGCUCCAGCAGCAGCCUCUUCCAUGGGGGACAGGUUUAUGAAGCACCCUGAUCUUCUCAAUCUCACAGCAACAGUAGAUCAACAUGACCUCCAGCAGCAGCCUCAGCCAUGGGGGAUAGGUUUAUGAAGCAAUCUGAACUUCUCAAUCUCACAUCAACAGUAGAUCAACAUGACCUCUAGCAGCAGCCUCAGCCGUGGGGGACAGGUUUAUGAAGCAGGGCUCCAGCAGCAGCCUCAGCCGUGGGGGACAGGUUUAUGAAGCAGGGCUCCAGCAGCAACCUCAGCCAUGGGGGACAGGUUUAUGAAGCACCCUGAUCUCACAGCAACAGUAGAUCAACAUGACCUGAAAGCGGUUUGUGUUCAGUGUCUAACAGUAGUCUAAUGACCAAGCCACGUCAGCAAAGCAGCAAUAACAGCAGUCAAGUCGAGGAUCACCCAAAACCACUUGGUGCCUAGGGAUGAUUUUUCUGCUACCAACUUGACCUGAUUAUUGUACUCACGUGGGAGUCAGGUUUAAGGUCACAUAAGGUUUAAAGGCUUAAAUCAGCAUAUAUGGUCAUGGUAGUAAGAAAAUUUAAGAUCAUAAAGGGACUUGUUGAUCAACUUGAUGACCAAGUUAUUUAAUAUUGUUCCAAAUGUAUCUUUAAACGAAAUGACUGCAAUACAGAGCAUCAUAAGAAAGUCUACAUACUUUCCCCUUUAAAUGUGUAAAAUUAACAAUAAACUAAAUGACUACAAAACAGGCAUUUACAAGAACAUCUUUGAACAUUUUCCUUUAAGUAUUGCUCAAUCUUUCUCAGUGAACAAAAUGUAUGCAGAAAGAAAAACUUUGUCUCUAUAAAGAUUGCUUACUAUGUUUUUACUGCAAACGGAUUUAUUACAGAACAGGAAUGUAUCUUUUAACAUUAUCGUUGAAAUUUCUCAACCAUUUGCAGUUAACAAAAUGACUGCACAAUAUGGCAUCAAUGGCAAAGAAGAAGUGAUCAGAGGGGGUUAUAACGUGAAAGUCAAGAAGGCGACGUCCAUUAUGAGACUGAAAACCCUGAUUGCAAAAUGCAGAGUCUGCUCCGUGCGCAUUUGCAGACACAGAAUAUGAACCCGCUGCAGUCAUCGUCUUCAGAUUAUAUCAUCUCUAUGGUGCAGGACCCUCAGUCUGUGUACACAGGGAACCUUCGACGCCAAUGACGAAAUCAAACCAUACAAUCAGAAACACAUCCUGUUGCAGCAGUUAUUACCAUAUUGACCCCAGUCAAACAAAAGAAGCUCAGAGAUAAAUACUGUUUAUGGUGUUCUAGUCUCUACAUACCUUGUGGUAUGUUGAGCACGUACUCUGACAGGUUCUAUCUUAUAAUUGUUUGACUGGUGGAAAAUAAAUGACCUUGUUCAAGUCGAAAUGUCAGAAUAGCAAUUCAUAAUUCAAAUGCCAAAAAGUCAUAUCAACAGCCACAUUUGUUAUGUGACCAGCAAAGUUGUUUUCAAAGAGACACAAUAGUCUACUUUAUAUUUUCUUGUGACCAACCAAGUUGUAUUUAAUGAAAAACAAUAGUUUAUGUUUUAUGGGAAUUAUGAUGCUGUUAGUCAUGUUAUGUUGGACGUUUUAGUUAAAUAUAGUAUGUUACAAACUGUAUUAUUUGAAGCACACAUAUUGCAGGUAUAUCCAAUGUCUGUGUCUGUAUUAUGAACCUUUCACUUCAGAUUUUGAUCCGGAUAUGGUAAAUUUAAGGGAAAUACAAUCAUAACAAAGUUAUUUUAAGAUUGUCAAAGCUGUUUAAAAGUUUAUGGUAACUUGGACACAAUUGAAAAUAUAUUGGCAUAUUGUCCAUGUUUCAGUUUUCUGUUUUACCAGUAAUAUAGAUGUGCUCAUUAAAAUAAUUCCCCAAAGAGGUUGAGAGUUAUGACACUUCAGCUUUUCUGUAUAUCAAUCUUUCUGAACACAAUACUUGUCAAUUUGCUCAUUCGGGUCGGUAUUUGAUCCAAAAUCUUGUUAAGUAGCAUACUAUUUCAAGGGAAUAUAAAUUAAUUCUGGGAAAAAGUGUUUAAUCUACUUAAAUUUAUUGAUUCUUUGUUACCACCAGUACUUUGUUGAUUUCAAUUGCUAUGGUUUGCUAAAUAAUUAAAGCAUGACUGUUGUUUUAUUUGGAAAGCUUUUAAUAAAACUCAGAAUUAAAAACAAUAUUUAAAAAAAAAGAUGAGUUUUAUGAAAAAUGGCACAUUUUAUGUUUGUUAAUUUGUGUAGUAAGAUCAUACACUUACAUGCUCAUAAGUGUUAACAUUCGAUUUUGGAUGUUAAAGUUUAUAAUGCUUUAUAUAUGCAUAUGUAGAUUUACACAACCAAAUUGUACCUUCUUAAAUCAGUGAGUAAUUUAACCCAGAUUUCUUGAUAACUGUUUAUAGGUAUAUUUUGCCAUUUAUACAUAGAGCAACUGCAAAGCGAUUGUAUUUUCGAUGUAAAUCAUACAUUUAGUGUUGCCAUUGUUUAAGAUAAACUCACUGUUUACAUUUAUUUGUACACACUAUUGUUAUAAAACAACAUUGCUUGUGUAAAUGCACAUAUAUGUAUAAAAACUGUUUAAUAAUGCAGCAUUAAAUAUUCUGAAGAGAAAAGGAUAUUUACGGCAAUAGAAACACCUUGUUAUAUGCUAUGCUUUUCAUGGAAUGAAUACCUUGAAAUUAGAAAUGAGUCAAUUACAAAAUAAGGGAGAGUGAUGUCAUAUGUUAACAAUUGUCAGGCAUAGCAAUUGCCUCUAUUGGUAAUAUAACAGAGCAAUAUUAUUUGCUUAAACAAUACAAAUUAAGAUGUCUUUUUUUGUUAGAUAAUAAUUGUGUUUACAACUUGAUAUAACGAGUAAAUACAUACAGAAUUUCAAAUUAUUUCGCAAUAUAUACUCGGCAAUAAGUGAAAGUCUAAAAGGAUUUUGUGGAAUAAACAAUUUGCAAAUUAUUUGCUUGUUUCAUGAAGUAAUAGUUAAGGUAAAAUGUGGUACUUAUUGUUACACAAACACAAUGUGUAAUAACAAAAUGCAUCAGUAAUGACAUUUAUUAAAAUUACUUAAAUUUACAUGACUACUCAGUGCUUUGAGUUUUGUAAUUGUGACGAUUAUAAGUGAAUAUUCUGCAAAAAAUACCUCUAUACGAAAUGUGUAUAUUUCAAUAAUAAUGGUAUACUUGUAUGCAAAGUACUUGAAUAGUUUUGAUGUAUUGCUGAUAAAGAAUUGUGUAAUUGUACUAGUCCUAUUCCAGUUUGUGUAACGUUGACCGUUCAACAUAAGCUGUCAGUGGAGUGAAUUCACUGGGGCCAGUUUCUGUAAAUCUUCAGAUUUAAAACUGCAGCAUACACAUAUGUCUUAAAUCCAGAUUUACAUAACAGUGUGGUUGUUUAUCUUGAAUUUGUAUUGAAUGCAUAAAACAUGUUUGUUCUGUUGUUGAACAACUGAAGAUAGCUUUAAAUGUGUACACUGUGUUUCAUUUUUAGAUAUAUCAAAUUGAUACAUAGAAAACAAAAUACAAAAUGUGCAAUAAUUGGUAUGCAUGUUUAGCCCAAAAAAUGUUAUUAUACAAGCAUAUAAGUAUUGGACUAUAUGAUACUGUAAGAUGAAAUGUUUAAAUCACGUCUUGAUUUGUUCGUCUACUUUAAGUAAACAUUUUUCAUUAGUAGAUAUUGGUUGUAUAAACUCUAUUGAAACUGCCCCCAAUGCAUUUUAAUUGCUUUUGUAAAUAUAUUCAAUAUGUAACAUUAUUGUUAAUGGUAUGUUUAUAGUUAAAGUGUAAGUGUUUCUCUAAACUGUAACCGGGUGUCUGUUUAAUUUAUUGAGAUGUGUUUAUAUUGUCCGGCUUAUUAAAUUAAAUAUUGUGCAAAUUGUCGCAUUGUGGUUGUUGUGAUAAAAACAAAGCACUUUCCACUACU